GCCGGGCGUGGUGGUGCACGCCUGUAAUCUCAGCUACUUGGGAGGCUGAGACAGGAGGAUUGCUUGAACCCGGGAGGCAGAGGUUGCAGUGAGCUGAGAUCGCGCCACUGCACUCCAGCCUGGGCGACAGAGCGAGACUCCGUCUCAA
RNAcentral lists this non-coding RNA (148 nucleotides) under Homo sapiens (human). Lineage: Eukaryota; Metazoa; Chordata; Mammalia; Primates; Hominidae. The record is from Rfam by way of RNAcentral.